GACGAACGCUGGCGGCGUGCCUAAUACAUGCAAGUUGAGCGAUGAAGAUUGGUGCUUGCACCAAUUUGAAGAGCAGCGAACGGGUGAGUAACGCGUGGGGAAUCUGCCUUUGAGCGGGGGACAACAUUUGGAAACGAAUGCUAAUACCGCAUAAUAACUUUAAACAUAAGUUUUAAGUUUGAAAGAUGCAAUUGCAUCACUCAAAGAUGAUCCCGCGUUGUAUUAGCUAGUUGGUGAGGUAAAGGCUCACCAAGGCGAUGAUACAUAGCCGACCUGAGAGGGUGAUCGGCCACAUUGGGACUGAGACACGGCCCAAACUCCUACGGGAGGCAGCAGUAGGGAAUCUUCGGCAAUGGACGAAAGUCUGACCGAGCAACGCCGCGUGAGUGAAGAAGGUUUUCGGAUCGUAAAACUCUGUUAGUAGAGAAGAACGUUGGUGAGAGUGGAAAGCUCAUCAAGUGACGGUAACUACCCAGAAAGGGACGGCUAACUACGUG
This 497-nucleotide ribosomal RNA is filed under the name uncultured bacterium. Its description in RNAcentral is "partial 16S ribosomal RNA". It matches the Rfam family "Bacterial small subunit ribosomal RNA", at positions 28 to 507 of the family's 1533-position model. The record is from RNAcentral.